ACCUGGGCAGGGACCUGUGCGGGCACCUGGGCAGGGACCUGUGCCGGCCCCUCUCCUCGGGCACUGCCCCGAUCCCAGGAAAAACGCCCCCAAACGCCAGGACCCACGGCGCCCGCUCUGCCCUCUCCCCUCCGAGGAACCGAGCACCGGCCCCCGGCGGGUGUUUCAAAGACAAGUGUUCGUGAAGAGCAAGGUCAGUCCCGGGACUGAGAACUUUACUCGGGUGCGACGGUGGAUUUAAGAUUUAAUUCCAGCAGUCAGCCCCGCGGCCGGGGCAGAGGGAUAACCGGGGAUGCACCACCGUAAAACAGUCCCGAGGCUUCCCUGGAAGAUCCUGACAGUUUCGGGAAGGCUCUGUUACUCUCCAGUCAUUUCCAGGGUAAAUUUAUCCACCACUGAGGGAGAAGCCCAGCGGCUCCUGCCCCCGUGGAAAGGGUGCCGAGAGGAAGAGCUGCAGCCCAAGGCCGGCUGAACACCCGAGGUUAAAACCAGAGUAUGUUUGCUCAGCAGGUACCCGAAGGAGUGACCCCGAGGUUUGCUCUCCCGUUUUGCUCUGUCGGCUCCUUUGCGUUUACAGGUCUUUUGGAAUCCAACAAGAGGACUGCAGUUGAGAGAGAAGCAGGGAUACACAUCACCAGAAGGUUGUGUUCCAGCAGUGGGGAAGCUUCAGGAAGCUGCUAAAAGUGUUCUACAUUGCAUUUUAUUCUGACCAGACUUCACGUGAGUGAUCAAAUGAGAGGCCAUUAUUUGUUGUAUUUCCGAGGAAGUAAUAUUUUUGCUACUUGUAAGUGACUAUUUGUAAUUUUUGCUAUUAUAGUAAGCACCUAUCCAAUCAAUCUUGAUUUUUAAAUCUCUUUUAGUCUCUUGAACAAAUACGUUUACAAGAAAAAUCAGGUUUGUUUAGAAUCAUGGAAUGAUUUAGACUGGAAGGGACUUUGAAGGUCAUCUGGUCCAACCUCCUACUCAAAGCAGACCUAACCUACUAAGAUGGGUUGGUUUUCUAUUAGUUUUUUUUUUAUUAUUUCAAUAGCAGUAUUUUAUGGCAAUAGUUCUUGUUGAAGAGCAUAUUCUAAACCACUUUCCAUUUACUAAUUUCCCCUGUUAACUUUGCUGCUAUAAAUAUAUGCUGUAGUCACCUUUGGAAUCAACAAUCCCUGUCCACAAUUUAUUCUCUUGCCUCUUGCAUUGACAAUGGCAAAGAAUAGAGACUAACCUGAAUAUGCAGAGUAAAAUACAGUUUGGAAAAUGGGGUUUAUUAUCCCAUAUUCUGAAGAAUGACCAUACCUCAGUCCAGGAUUAUUGCUUUGAAGCUAAAGGAAAUUAAACCAUUCUUCUACCUUUAGGCCCAAAAGACAAUGACUUCAUUUCCGUGUGUUUCCAGAGACAAUGAGCUGCUGAUCUUUGAUUCUUCUCAACUUAUAGGACAGCUGAACAAAACGUAAAAACCAAAGGCCUGGCUUUGCUCUCAGCUGUUCUGGUAUAAUCCAAGCUCAGCUUCCCUGGUGUUAAUGAAUUUAUUCCAGUUUUACUGUGCUGUGAUCAAACCAGAAUGUAUUGUAUAGUUUGUAUGAAAGAAUUGGGCCAUUUUCUUCUGUUUUCAGAUGAUGAGCUGUCUGUUAGUUGGUCUGUAGCCUCCCUUUCUCAUCCUUUCCCUAUUCUAUAAUUUAAAAAAAAAUGUGUAUUUGCAAAAGAACAACGACAAACUCUACCUGAAAAACUGUUUUACGCAGUCUUGCAAACUCUUGUUUUUUAAAGAGAAGCCCCCUGCAGAUCCUGAAACCUGGGAAGGAUCCUGUGGAGGAUUUGGCCAUGUUUAGAAAGCAUCCAGAGUAGCUAUGACAACUUCAUGUCCAGGGGCCAAGAUCGUGUCCACAUACCAAAUCCCUGACACUAUGCAAGAUCCUUAUCCAACCUAAAGAGGAAACUGUAAAAUUAGAAUUGCCUAAAAUAACCCCUAGAGAGACUAUUGCCGGUUCUUGAGAAGAGUUGGGGUUUUUUUUGACAUCUCAAAUACAGCUUUUUCUUAAAAUGUCUGAAACAGGAAACUUGUGAAAGAAAAGAAAAUAAUGAAAUGAAUAAGGUAUCCACAACCCUGGAAAAACAGGUUCCCAGCUAGGUCCUUUUUUUGUUAUUUGCUGUGAUUUCUUUAACCUUCUUUGAUCAGUUAAAUGGACUUGGAGUGUUAUAGAAGCCUCUGAAAUAUAUCAAUAUCAUUUUCUUGGGUUUAUAUUUGAAAUGGGAGUGGUAUCCAAGGUGGGUUUCAGCUCCCUCUGGUCUGGACGAGCUGGGAUUAAUGCUGAGUGCAGCAAGGGAGGCUGAUCUCAGCACAGGGAGGUGAUCAGGGUCUGAUCCAUUACCUGGUCCAGGCAGUUCAGAUGCUCACUGUAUUUUUUUGAUAUUACAUGUGGAAGUGAAGCAUUCAACUGAUAGAAAUCUGCUUUUCCAUGCAAUGAAUAUGUUGGCUACAGCACCUGCAGCCUCGUGCUUUCUGGUAAAAGCUGAGCUCUGUGUUAAUUCUCUUAGUUAUUGAUUGGUAAUAUUGUUUCUGCUUCCUGUCUCUGCAGUGAGGUUUUUACAUCCUGCCUGUAGUUGAUCCCUUCCUGUUUCUCUGGAUAUGGCAAGGUUCUGCAAAGCAGGUUUUUAUAAAGGAAGAGAGACCUGCAAAAUGCAUUACUAAAGGUACUGAUUUAAAAAACCAGGUGCACAAAUGAUGUUUGGGUUUAAGUAGCCAGGAGGAGGUUUUGAACAUUGGCUCAGGCAGAACCAAACUCAAACAUUUUAAUAAUGGCAUAUUAACAUAACUGCCUUAUGCAAAAUAUUCCUGGCUGCUUUUUAUGAAAGUAAACAGAAAGAGUGAUAUAUCUGGAUAAAGAGGAGCAGAUGGUAAUUUUCAUUAUUCCUCCCUUCCCCUCGCCUUUUGCUUGCAUCCCAGCGAGGGAGAACUAAAAGACAAAAUCUCCUCUUCAGUGAAUUUGGAACAGAAACUUCAAAAUAGAUAUCCCAACUUAUGCCUUAAUGUUUGCCCUGGGGGUCAUGCUCUUGAACGCUCUUCAUCCACUGGAUUAAUAAGGCCAAAGGAUUUUUGUCACUGAAAAAAAAUGUUCAGAUUUUACACGAGUUAAGGACUGCUUUGAUUUGUGAAAACUCAUUUUCAGUGUCUAAGUUCUUAUCCAGGAAGAACUCUCCACUGUGAUAAUGGUUAUCUGCAAGUCAGUUUUAACUUGGCACCCUUCACAUUUGGCAGCAGAUUUUAGCUUUACAUAACACUGAGUUAUUAUUAAUGUACCAUAUUGCAGAUUUUAGGAAGGAAUCAAGUUUUCAAGUGUUGGGGUUUUUUUUAAGUCAGGAAAUGCAACAGAUAGGCUUUUUACAGGCAUGUCACUUUAUGCUCUACAUGUCCCGUGCAUUUUAUUAUAUUUCCCUUAAAAUAACAAUCCUUAGGUUAGUGCACAUAUUUAGUAAUCAAAGCCAUCUAUUAUACUGCCUGAAUACAAAAGGUUUCACUCCAUGUUUCAAGAUCUUUUUCAUUCUCCACAUUUAUAACGUGACCCGUGUUAAUAUUGCAUUGGCACUGGUGGGUUUUUUUUAUUUGACACAAGUCUAAGGAUGUCUGAGUGGUCCUGGUUCAAGGUGUCUGUCACAUGAGGUACAGAAUUUCUCUCAGUAAAGACUGCUUUGUUUUUAAAUUCAAGUGAUUCAGAAAAAAUACCUGUGAAAGGCUAAAGAGUAUUCAAGGGUGGUGGAGGAUGCCCUUGGUGACAGCAGUUCAUACAGAGGUGGGUAAAGUGGCGUGAGCCUGGCAUGUAUAUAGGGAUGGCACUUAGUAAUUGCUUAUUCUGUUUGCCUUUUUCGUUGACUGAUGUUUUUAUCUGGCUCUCUGGAGUGAGGUAUGCUGGAUGUACUGUGGCUUUCCAAAAGGAAAUACUGAAGUAACCCACACGGAGCCAUAAGGAAAAUAAACUGUCAUUUCUAACACACGGCACAUGAAGAAAAGCCCUUUCACAUCACUUUGUUUCCUGCUCAAAGCUGUUUCUCAAACUGUAUAAGAUCUCCAGCUCACAUUAUUGUUCUGAGGGGCUUCAUACAAGAAGGGUGUUUUUUGUCUAGCAAGGCUAAUGAGGUCCUAGAGCAAAAAGAUACACAAUAUCAGAAAGAAAACAGCUAAUCUGACAUUACCGUUCAAUGUGUUCAUUCAUUUCUAAAUGCACAUUAAUUUGGUGUAACUUUUCUGUCCUUGUACUAGAAUAGAAAGUAGGACAUCUGUGAGUACAGUAAUUAAACAAGUCAACUAAACCCCAUUUUAACAAAAGGCUUGGCAUGGCCAUGUCCCUACAGGUGCUCUUUCUGUGCCUUCCAAAGCUGGGGUGGGUUCUGCUCUGUGUGCAUCACCAGCCCGUGUCCCUCACACACCAGCCUUGUUAGUGCAGCAAUCGAGCACUGCUGUCACAGGAAAGGACAUCGUGCAUUUCUGGUGUUCCUGGGAUCCAUCAGGACUGCCAGUCUCCCCACCUCCUUUGUGAGGACACAAAUUAAGGGGUUUUGUAGCUGGAGUUGAGGGAUGAGACAUCCUGUCGCUACACGCAGAGGUAACGGAGCCUUUUAGGUCACAGACGUCGCAGAUGUUUCUUUUAGGCCCACAUUAGAAACUUUUGCUCAUACACUGAUGUCAGCCUGGGUCUGAAAAAAACAUAAAUCCCACCUGCCCACUGGAGCUGAGCCAGCACAGUUCCUGGCGUGGACACAGCUGUGCUGCCAGGAAAAGGCUGCUGCCAGAUUAAUCUGUUGGGUUCAGAGCCUGGUGCAACUUCAGUGGCACAAAAUCCCCUCUGGCAGUGCCCUUCCCUGCUGCAGAGCUGUGUGACACUCACAGGGACUGGGACUGCAGACAGAGGCUCCUCAGGGCAGCAGUUGAGAUGGGCCUGGUGUGAGAACAAAGGGGAGACAAAGACACUGAGAAAGUGUCUGAGAACACAGCAAAUCAUUGGCAGGUCUGAUAGGAGGUGUUCCUUUUGACUGCAGGAGCCCCUUCAAAAACUUCCCACUCCAUAAAUCCGUUUUUUUCCCCCCUGGAAGCCACAUUUCCUCUGUGUGCCAGUUUCCACUGGCUGCAGGAACAUGUGCUGAUGGGACUAGGUUUGCUUUGCUUAGAAACACCCAGCAUUUAUUGCCCUUGCACUGGCAGCUAAAUGCUGAAGGGUCUGUCCCAGGAGGACUGCUCUGGAUAGCAGAGAGGAGCUGGGUCUUCAGCCAGACCCUAGUGGGACAGUAAAUGCCUCUGGUUCUCAGCAGAUCCUACAGUAAGAACUCUCUCUGCCUACUUCACAGUCCCAGCAAAAGGACUGCACAAACCCAUAACCCAGCAGUAUAUCAGGUUCAAAGUAUUUCUUCUGUCGUCACAUGCAUCUGCCUUAGGUUAUCAGUAAACCACAGAGAAUUACAGCAGCGAGGAAAUAUUCAAAGGUCAGCCCAGGAUCAGUCUGAGUGACAGGUGGUGAUGGGGGUUUUAUUAGGCUUUCUGUCUCUGGUACCUGUUGAUGUAGGAGUGGUUGAGUUCCUGGGAGCCAGCAGCUCCAGGACCCUUCAGUCUAUGGGGACUUGUUUAAUUACCCUGUCUUCCUGAGAGGAACAUGAGAAAGCUUGGAUGGGUUGCAGCAGUGGCAGAGAAGCAUGACUGUGAUGCUCUUUGACCAAAAUCAGUUGUCCAAAGCAGUUCAGCAUGGAAAAAAUGUCACUGGACAACAAAAACAACAGGAGUUAGUGGAGUGAAGCUGCUGGAGAGGUGAUUGUUCACUGUUUUCUGCAGUAUGAGAAGUAGAGGGCAUCAAGUAGAGUUUAAAUUAGUCAAUACUUAAAAGAAUCUCUGGUUCCUGAGAUAAAUGGUUGUUUCAAUGAAAGUAUUAGAAUUAUUUUUGGUCAAAUAUCAGGAACUAGUCAUGCUAGUUAUUGACACUGUUAUCAAAGAGAUUUGAUAAUGUAGCUAUUUGAAAUCCAUAUCUUAUACGUGUGAAGUUCUGGCAUGACUGGAAUGAAAGUAUAGGUGAGUCAAGCACAGUAAUUUUGACCAAACUGUAGGCUACAGAAAGUUUGCAGUUUUCUAUUCCAACCAAAGACAAAAAAAUGUAAUAAUCCAAGUAUCAGAACUUCUAAACUAAUUUUCUGAAAAAUCAGGUGCUUCAGAACAAUAUCCAAGUCUUAAGACACAGCAAUGGAACAGAACAUGUCAGUGGUUGUGUUUUUUUGGGCAGAGCCUGGCAGGGCAGCAGGCACACCUGUCCUGAGAGCAGUGCUUGGGAAGGGGCAGGGCACAGCCCCUGCAUUCCCACCGAGGGCACAGCCCAGCACCAGCCUGGGGACAAUGGCAGUGCUCCUGUGAGCUCGGAGAGGCAGGAACCAACCACAGCACAACGGGAAACAGAUUUUUUCCAAGCUAGAAAAGCCUUUGCCCCCAAGUAUUUUUAACCCAAGUAUUUCAGAGCAUGUCAGACAAUUGAUCAGCAAUCUGUUGCUGAAGUGAUGUAUUUAUCUGAUGCGUGGUUUCACUUAGCAGCUACAACACGUACAGCAAAGAACUCAAAAAAAAAAAAUGAACUGGAACUCUAUGUAACAACUCUUAUUCAAAACAGAUGUAUUACUUGGUAUAUGUUUAACAUUCUCCUCAUAAUCCCAACUUGAUCCUUAACCAUCAUGCAUUAGAGUGUUGCUUUUAAAGAAGAUGAAAAUGGGCUGCUAAAAUGCUGCCCAUAUAAUCUGAAUUAUUUUCAGCCCUGUUGUUAAAGCUUAGAGAUAAAAUUCUCUUUUGAACUAAGGUUGAAGGCAUCGUGUUUGAUAUAUUGGUAUAAUUCCUGCAAUAUAAAUACUCAUAAAUUAAGUUAGUGGUAUGGUAUGAUUUCCUGUAAUCUGUUUCCAGAAUCAAUAUUUUAUUGAAUGAACUUCUUAUUUUAACUUCUCACUUACUGACCCAGUGGUGCAGCUGUAACGUGUGCUUGAUCACUCACUCUUUUAAAAUCAGAUCUGACUAUGCAGCAGCAUAGAUGUGGCACGGUUUUGGAAGAAUUGCACUUAAUAUUGUGUGGAUAGAGAUUGAAAAUAGCACUAUCACACCCUGAUGUAGAUUCUCCCAUCUUAACAUCCUGUAGUACUUUAGAAAAUGGCCAUGUAAUAUAAUCCCCAUUUUAUAGGCAGGAAAACUGAAGCCAUGAUUAUUUCCUUCUUAAAGGAUGCUUAACUUUAAGCACCUCCUAUAACAUUUACUUUUGUAAAUGUGGAUUUUAUUUUUAAGAAUCCUUUAUACGUAGCAAUUAUCAUUCAGCUAAUUACCCACGAUUCAUUGCAAGCCUCUGCCAGUGAGUGUGUGACCUCUUGCAGAGCAAAAGGCUGUUUGUUCUGAGCAGGUGGAACUGUAUCACCCGUUGGGCCGUGCUGGGGGUGUUGACAAAGGCAGCAGCAGACGAAGAUGCUCUGCAGUACUUUGGGGGCUGGGGUGGUCCAUUGGCACUUCUUUGGGGCAAUGCACAGUUCCUGUGCUGUGUCCCUCUCAGGAACACAAAAACUGCCAGCAAUCAUCAUCAAUCUCUGCAGGUCUCCUGGGAGCCUUGGGUUCCUGCAGCAGAACCUGGUGCUGCAUCUCUAAGCUGCACAGCCAAGAAUGUGAUGAUUUCCCUCUCCUCAAAGAGUUCCUCACUCCCUCUUUUCUUUGCCCUUGCUUGUUCUGUGUCUGUGCUUUAUAGGCUACACCACAUUUAAACACACUGUGGGUUUUGGGGUGGAGGAGGGAAUGUAGGAGUACUAACAGAAAAAUUGCUCUUUUUGUGGUGACCAGAGCAACUGUACUAGAUGAAACUGCUCUUUGUUAUCAGUGUUUAAAAAGUAUUUUCUGAUGUGGUAAAAACUGUUAUAUGGAUGGAGUUCAAGAUGGUGGAGGGCAUGUGAAAGUUUAUUUUAUAAAGGGAAAACUGGAUUGUUUUGUAGUUAGGGGUUCUGUACCUAAAAUGUCUCUACAGAUUAAAUUUCCAAGUUCUUUGUUCUCAGACACUUUGUUUCAGGUGGGCAAAUGGAGAAUGAACAAUGAGGUUUAAGUCGAUGCCUUCACAGAUGCAGUCUGAAUGCCCUGAUUUACACAACAUGGUCUGUAGGUUGAUGAUGCCACCAUAAGACUCCAAGACCUCACAAGUCUAAUCCUGAGAAAUCCCCUGUAGCCAGUGCAUACUGACUUCAUAUGAGCGAGAUAUGAACCUGCCAUCCAGCUUCAGUUUCCUCUGUGGAUUAGUCCAGGACAUCACUCUUGAUGUUUCCAAGGAAUGUAACUCCACGAAGGCUGGUGUCAUUCUCCAGUGGAGUUUAAAAUGGAAUUUAGGAGAUCUGAUAUUCCCAAGGGCAGCCAUGUAGUGCUGCAGCAGGAGGGAAACAGACCUCCAAAACAGGCCACUGUAAGAAAAGAGCAAGGAAAAGCCCAGUCCUGGAAAAUGCACUGGCACUACAAAAAAGUGUGGAAGUCUGGGGAAACAAUGAAUUGGAGCUGAAUAAUAUUAUAUCAGUCCUGUAUGUUUUUAAUAAGUAGUUGGAAGGUCUUCCGUGAGGAGUUUCUGCUCAAUUUUAUCUCAGUCAGGGAUAGAAAUUGUUCAUUUGGUCCCAUAAAGAGCUGAACUUCCUGAGCAGGCACAUGUUGGAAGUUCUCUUACAUUGGCAUAGGAAGCUAUUUUUUUUUUGUAAAACAUUUCACAUUUAUGUUCUUCCAGAAUUAAAGGCACAGGGCCUGCUCCAGAGCCCUCUGCAGUCACUGAUAUCCUCACACUGACCUCUGGGAGCUUUAGGGCUCUCUUUUGGACCUCCUUCUUCCCCCACACCCCCCCCAGCUAGCUGCCAUUUAUAUAACAGAGUUAAAAAUUUGGGGAACUCAAAGCACACAAAGAAUUUGCAGUUUGGGAUAGGAAGGGAAGGAUUCUGCAUCCAACCAAACCAACCCCUGUCUUCCCUGCCACUUACUGCUAAGCAUGAGGAGAGUUUUCCAGCUCUGGGUGGGACUGACAGUUCAUUGCUGGGUUCCUGCUGCUCCUGGGAAACCACCAUUCAUCCAGCCUGCAAUCUGCAGAAUAAAGGAACCAGAUAAUCAAUGACACUCUCCUCUGUCCAUAUUUAAACAUUUAUGGCAUAGAUGUUGACAGAUGAUCUCAUCAUCUAAGCUCCCUUUGUAGUUGACGGAAGGACAAAGACACUUCUGUCUCAUAUUUUUGCAAAUAAACAAAUGGAUAUACACAUAUACAAAUGUAAAGACUCACAAAGGUUAAUUUAAAUGGUAUCAUGACAAAACUUGAAGAAGAGAAUGAGACAUUCUUUCCUGACCUUUUUUUUUUCUCUUGUGCUUUGCCAAUUCAAAGGGAAGUCAGUGUGCUUUGUGCAGACAGAAGUGUAAAUCUUUUGAAACUCCAGCAAAAAAUACAUACAGCAGAUAUAAAUACAAAUAAAAUUCAGGGUAGGUGACACCUUCCUGGAGUAGUUAUGACUGGAUAGUCUGUCUACAACUAGCUGUUAUAUUAAGACUGUGGGAACAUCUACAGUGACAAAGCUGACACUUCAUUUUGGCCGCUUUAAUGAGGUGUUCAGUGUCCUGCUCCUCUGCUGGGCUUUUGCAUCACCAACCCAAAAGCUGCACCAUCACUAACGCAGAGAGAGAGUCUUUUUCUGUCUCGUGUCCAGUCAAUCAGCUUUCCUCCUGUGAUUCAUCCCGCAGUCUCCCUCUGAGGCAGAGCUGCAACCUGAGGGUCACAGACCCCAGGGAGUUCUUUGUUUCCUGAGAAAAGAUGAAACUGCUGCUAUCUUUGAACAAAACCAUUUAUCUUAGUACAGAAACAGUGUCUUGUUCAUCCCCAAAAACUGAGCUGAAGAGAAGUCUCAGCCCUCCCUCAACACAUGCAAUUCUGUCCUUCAUGAAGGUUGCAAAAACAUCUGUCCUGGACACCUGGGAUCACAAGGAGACUGAUUAAAAACCUGGAAGACAGACAUUUCCUAGUCUGAGCUUUCUGCCAUGGAAGCAGGCACCAUAAGGCAAACCUGACUGAUCUCUUGCAAAAAAA
Molecule: long non-coding RNA, 10070 nt
Organism: Corapipo altera (White-ruffed manakin)
Lineage: Eukaryota; Metazoa; Chordata; Aves; Passeriformes; Pipridae
Exons: 6
Source: RefSeq, a predicted model, not a curated record